GCAAGUCGAACGGCAGCACGGGUGCUUGCACCUGGUGGCGAGUGGCGAACGGGUGAGUAAUAUAUCGGAACGUGCCCUAGAGUGGGGGAUAACGUAGCGAAAGUUACGCUAAUACCGCAUACGAUCUACGGAUGAAAGUGGGGGAUCGCAAGACCUCAUGCUCGUGGAGCGGCCGAUAUCUGAUUAGCUAGUUGGUAGGGUAAAAGCCUACCAAGGCGACGAUCAGUAGCUGGUCUGAGAGGACGACCAGCCACACUGGGACUGAGACACGGCCCAGACUCCUACGGGAGGCAGCAGUGGGGAAUUUUGGACAAUGGGGGAAACCCUGAUCCAGCAAUGCCGCGUGUGUGAAGAAGGCCUUCGGGUUGUAAAGCACUUUUGUCAGGAACGAAACGGUGGGGGCUAAUACCCCCUGCUAAUGACGGUACCUGAAGAAUAAGCACCGGCUAACUACGUGCCAGCAGCCGCGGUAAUACGUAGGGUGCAAGCGUUAAUCGGAAUUACUGGGCGUAAAGCGUGCGCAGGCGGUUGUGCAAGACAGAUGUGAAAUCCCCGGGCUUAACCUGGGAAUUGCAUUUGUGACUGCACGGCUAGAGUGUGUCAGAGGGGGGUAGAAUUCCACGUGUAGCAGUGAAAUGCGUAGAUAUGUGGAGGAAUACCGAUGGCGAAGGCAGCCCCCUGGGAUAACACUGACGCUCAUGCACGAAAGCGUGGGGAGCAAACAGGAUUAGAUACCCUGGUAGUCCACGCCCUAAACGAUGUCUACUAGUUGUCGGGUCUUAAUUGACUUGGUAACGCAGCUAACGCGUGAAGUAGACCGCCUGGGGAGUACGGUCGCAAGAUUAAAACUCAAAGGAAUUGACGGGGACCCGCACAAGCGGUGGAUGAUGUGGAUUAAUUCGAUGCAACGCGAAAAACCUUACCUACCCUUGACAUGUACG
This 941-nucleotide ribosomal RNA is filed under the name uncultured Burkholderiales bacterium. RNAcentral's name for it is "bacterial SSU rRNA". It matches the Rfam family "Bacterial small subunit ribosomal RNA", at positions 57 to 992 of the family's 1533-position model. The record is from RNAcentral. Lineage: Bacteria; Pseudomonadati; Pseudomonadota; Betaproteobacteria; Burkholderiales.